AAGUGCAGACUGUGCAAUAAAGUGAGAAAGUGCAACUCUCAUCACUCUAAAAAUGAUAUUCACCACCUCUCAACUGAAGCUCCUGACGAAGUCCGAGAGACGAAACGCGUUGAGCCACAGUGGGACCCUCCAGUUUUGGUAUCAGCAGUUUCUGCUUUACAAAAUUGUUGCUUAUGAGAUUGUUUGUGGACAUUACUGGUGAAUAUCAUUUUUAGAGUGAUGAGAGUUGCACUUUCUCACUUUAUUGCACAGUCUGCACUU
Non-coding RNA from Pelobates cultripes (western spadefoot toad), 261 nucleotides. Lineage: Eukaryota; Metazoa; Chordata; Amphibia; Anura; Pelobatidae. The record is from the annotation of a GenBank genome assembly.